This 96-nucleotide small nuclear RNA is filed under the name Mus pahari (shrew mouse). Its description in RNAcentral is "snRNA (MGP_PahariEiJ_G0033271.1)". Lineage: Eukaryota; Metazoa; Chordata; Mammalia; Rodentia; Muridae. The record is from RNAcentral.
UCUGCUCUGGCAGCACACUAAACUGGAAUGAUACGGAGAUCAGCAUGUCCCCCUAGCAACGGUGACAAAGACAUUUAUGAUUUGUUCCAAGUAAAA